RNAcentral lists this long non-coding RNA (232 nucleotides) under Lathyrus oleraceus (garden pea). RNAcentral's name for it is "Pisum sativum (pea) long non-coding RNA (PSAT_LNC007886)". The record is from RNAcentral. Lineage: Eukaryota; Viridiplantae; Streptophyta; Magnoliopsida; Fabales; Fabaceae.
UUUAAUAAGGGUCUAUUUGGUUCAAAUGAUGAGGAAGGGAAAAGAGGAAUUUUAAUGGAGAAAAUCGGAGGGGAGGUGGGAGAUUAUUUUAAUCAGAAAAAAAUUUGGUUCAAAAGAGAGGAGGGGAAGGGAAAUGAUGAAUUUUAAUUAAAAACGUGUUUGGUUAAGAAGGGAUGGGGAUGAGUUUUAUUAAUAAUUUACAUUUUUAUCCUUAUGAUCUUAUAUAAGUAUC